CUGGGACUUGUUAAUGUGAUAGUUUCUCUCCCUGAAAUACAGCCUUAUGUAAGUCUGGUUCCAGGACUGGAGCAACAAAUUAGGAAAGCAGUUUGAGCUUUGUCUGUAACAGAGAACCUGCCACCUUGAGGAAGGGCUUCAGCUCCACUCCCAUCUUUAAAUCACACAGCCAGCGCCGCGGGGAUGAAACUAAGGAGCAAACCAAUAUUUGGCUGCCCAGAUGUACGUUGAAGGCCGGUUCAGCCUUCAGCAAGGAAAAACUUCUGUGCCGUGUCCAAAAUUUCAAGGCGCUGAAUGAGAAGUUCAUCUUCCUGGCACCCUGACAGCGAAUAUUGAUCACAUAACCCCGAGUGCAGGAACUAGGAGACUGCUCAUCCAGCUAACCGCGCCUCACCUGGAUGGUAGCAGCUGUUAGGAAAAAAUAUUGGUCUGUUGACCGUGUUAAAUGGAUGGCACCGCCUCUAAUACAAAUAUACUGUAGGGAAACAGGGAAGGGGAUGCUUCCUGACACCUGUCUUUAAUCUCUGGAUGCUCUGAGUCCCCAAGAUAAGCCAGAACCUGGCCUGAAAGUCCAUGUGGAAAGACAAACUAACUGUGAACCAGACGCAGACAUCAGCGCCCGGGGCGCAGCGCGUACCAAGAUAGCCCACAGCCACCUGCCAGCUUGCCACUGACCUUUUAUCUGCAUAAAUAGUCGUGACCUUUGGGCUGCUCAAAUUAGUGCUAGCUGCUCACCCAGGCCAGUAUCACAGCCCCAUCGUGCACAGGCCUUCCGCUACUUUGACUCUGUUGCCUUCGCUUGGUGAACCAACAGGCAGAGGCACCGUGCUCAUGGCCUCUGUAGGCUGCAAACACCUCGCUGGAGCCUUCGUCCACCACUGAAGGGCACAAAGACCAAGGGAGGGGUCCUGCCACCUGCGGCUGUGUUGUCACUUCUCUGUAGGGCACGGUGAGCCUUCAGCUGCACUCCUGCUUGGGGCAUUAAUUCAGCAUGUCCUUCAG
This 1002-nucleotide long non-coding RNA is filed under the name Gallus gallus (chicken). RNAcentral describes it as "lncRNA (ENSGALG00010021522.1)". The record is from RNAcentral. Lineage: Eukaryota; Metazoa; Chordata; Aves; Galliformes; Phasianidae.